CGCACUGUCAGCAGCCCGAGUACUUUGAGGUUGCUCUAAAGCGGAAAGGUGGAAUAAACGAGUCAGGAGCAGAUUUUCUUAAUUGAACAAAGUUCUCUAUUGAGGUAUUUCUUCUUAAACACUAUCAAGGAUGAUCUCCCAAGGAAAACACAAAUCUUCUUUACAAGAACAAUGAACAUAAGGAGUAUCUUUAAACUAUAACAUAAAUCACCGGUGUGUCACUGCUCAACGACCCGUCCAUGGAGAGCUCCCUCUGGGUGGUGGUCCGGAUUUGUGGUGGCCAUUCCCAAGAGGUAGUUUGUCCCCUUCUUCUCCCUUCCGAAAGGUACGUCCUCUCCUUUGGAGAAGCAAACACUAUUUUCUUUCUCCCCUCUCUGCCGGUUCCCUCCUCUUUCUUGUAGUGGAAAGAAAAUAGCUCAUUAGUACCGUUACUGUGUUGCCUAAUUGCCUCUGAUCACCUUGACUCACAUGCCGGGCUGGGCUACUGUCCAUGGGAACAGCCUGCCCUCUGGUGGUCCUUCCACAGCUCUCACUACAGUACAUUUUAAUAGAAAGUUAGCAAAAGUAGAUAAGAUCUUACUACUAUGGAAAGGUAAAUACCUGUCUAUUUGUCUAAAAACCUCCCAGAUUAAUUAUUUAGUCUUAUCCCAGUUUCGUUAUUUACUUAUGGCCCUGCCUACACUGAACGACCUUUCAAAAAAAAAAAGAGCAAAAAAAAAAGCCAGACAAAAUUAAACGGGCUUAAUUAUAUAAUGAAUAUGAAUUCGGAGGGCCAAAAUUAUGCAAAUAUUGAACCUCUCACUAAAGGCUUCAUACAAAAGUUAUACUUAAGUCUGAACUGGUUUAAAAAUCAAAUCAAAUUUUAUUGGUCACACACAUGGCUAGCAGAUGUUAAUGAGAGUGUAGUGAAAUGCUUGUGCUUCUAGUUCCGACAAUGCAGUAAUAUCUAACAAGUAAUUUAACAAUUUCACAACAACGACCUUAUACACACAAGUGUAAAGGAAUGAAUAAGAAUAUGUACUUUGGCAGACCAGGGGGUUUGGUCAAGACGUUUACACAAAUCAGACACGGACAGAGUAGGAUUAGCUUGGUUUCAAGGGUGUUUAUUUAAAUAAUAAAUCAAAAAGAAAAGGAUAGGUCUCCCACAUGAGACCCUCUCUGGGAUACCGUCUUCUGGGCUCCGGGUCUUGUUGUAUCCUGUCGG
Molecule: long non-coding RNA, 1204 nt
Organism: Oncorhynchus tshawytscha (Chinook salmon)
Lineage: Eukaryota; Metazoa; Chordata; Actinopteri; Salmoniformes; Salmonidae
Source: Ensembl